This 909-nucleotide ribosomal RNA is filed under the name Paraphaeosphaeria minitans. Its description in RNAcentral is "eukaryotic LSU rRNA". It matches the Rfam family "Eukaryotic large subunit ribosomal RNA", at positions 38 to 964 of the family's 3401-position model. The record is from RNAcentral. Lineage: Eukaryota; Fungi; Ascomycota; Dothideomycetes; Pleosporales; Didymosphaeriaceae.
GCAUAUCAAUAAGCGGAGGAAAAGAAACCAACAGGGAUUGCCCUAGUAACGGCGAGUGAAGCGGCAACAGCUCAAAUUUGAAAACUGGCUCUCUUUGGGGGUCCGAGUUGUAAUUUGCAGAGGAUGCUUUGGCAUUGGCGGCGGUCUAAGUUCCUUGGAACAGGACAUCACAGAGGGUGAGAAUCCCGUACGUGGUCGCCUGCCUUUGCCGUGUAAAGCUCCUUCGACGAGUCGAGUUGUUUGGGAAUGCAGCUCUAAAUGGGAGGUAAAUUUCUUCUAAAGCUAAAUACUGGCCAGAGACCGAUAGCGCACAAGUAGAGUGAUCGAAAGAUGAAAAGUACUUUGGAAAGAGAGUCAAAAAGCACGUGAAAUUGUUGAAAGGGAAGCGCUUGCAGCCAGACUUGCCCGCAGUUGCUCACCUAGGCUUUGGCCUGGGGCACUCUUCUGCGGGCAGGCCAGCAUCAGUUUGGGCGGUUGGAUAAAGGCCUCUGUCACGUAUCUCCCUUCGGGGUGACCUUAUAGGGGAGGCGCAAUGCAACCAGCCCGGACUGAGGUCCGCGCUUCGGCUAGGAUGCUGGCGUAAUGGCUGUAAGCGGCCCGUCUUGAAACACGGACCAAGGAGUCUAACAUCUAUGCGAGUGUUUGGGUGUCAAGCCCGAGCGCGCAAUGAAAGUGAACGGAGGUGGGAACCCUUUGGGUGCACCAUCGACCGAUCCUGAUGUCUUCGGAUGGAUUUGAGUAAGAGCAUAGCUGUUGGGACCCGAAAGAUGGUGAACUAUGCUUGAAUAGGGUGAAGCCAGAGGAAACUCUGGUGGAGGCUCGCAGCGGUUCUGACGUGCAAAUCGAUCGUCAAAUUUGGGCAUAGGGGCGAAAGACUAAGCGAACCAUCUAGUAGCUGGUUCCUGCCGA